Molecule: ribosomal RNA, 493 nt
Filed under: Gallirex porphyreolophus (purple-crested turaco)
Lineage: Eukaryota; Metazoa; Chordata; Aves; Musophagiformes; Musophagidae
Description: partial 16S ribosomal RNA
Rfam family: Bacterial large subunit ribosomal RNA (bases 178-493)
Source: RNAcentral
AAGCCUACUCUAGCCCAAUCAAACCCAAUACAAAACAAACUUAAAACCCGACAGCACUUACUAAAACAAAACAUUUUCUUAUGGCUUAGUAUAGGUGAUAGAAAAGUCACUAUGGCGCAAUAGAACUCCGUACCGUAAGGGAAAGAUGAAAUAAUAAUGCAAACCCAAGCAGUAAACAGCAAAGACCAACCCUUGUACCUUUCGCAUCAUGAUUUAGCAAGAACAAACCAGGCACAAGGAAACUUAAGCUUGCCACCCCGAAACCCAAGCGAGCUACUUGCGAGCAGCUAUACAUGAGCAAACCCGUCUCUGUAGCAAAAGAGUGGGACGACUCGCUAGUAGAAGUGAAAAGCCAACCGAGCUGGGUGAUAGCUGGUUGCCUGUGAAACGAAUCUUAGUUCCCUCUUAAUUACCCUCCACGGACCAACCUUAAACCCGCACGAAGUGAUAAAGAGUAAUUCAAAGGGGGUACAGCCCCUUUAAAAAAGGAUAC